UACAGAGGUCUCAACCGUUGUUCGGAUUCAUUGGGCGUAAAGGGUGCGUAGGCGGUCGCGCAAGUCGGAUGUGAAAUCUCAGGGCUCAACCCUGAAACUGCAUUCGAUACUGCGUGGCUAGAGUGCUGGAGAGGAGACUGGAAUUUACGGUGUAGCGGUGAAAUGCGUAGAUAUCUGAAGGAACAUCAGUGGCGAAAGCGACUUCCUGGACCAAUACUGACGCUCAUGUGCGAAAGCGUGGGGAGCAAACAGG
Molecule: ribosomal RNA, 253 nt
Filed under: uncultured bacterium
Lineage: Bacteria
Description: partial 16S ribosomal RNA
Rfam family: Bacterial small subunit ribosomal RNA
Source: RNAcentral